UACGAGGGGUGCAAGCGUUGCUCGGAAUUAUUGGGCGUAAAGGGUAGGUAGGUGGUCUUAUUUGUCUUGUGUGAAAGCCUUGGGCUUAACCCAAGAAGUGCGCAAGAAACGGUAAGACUAGAGUCCCAGAGAGGCUUGUGGAAUUCCCGGUGUAGCGGUGAAAUGCGUAGAGAUCGGGAGGAACACCAGAGGCGAAGGCGGCAAGCUGGAUGGG
RNAcentral lists this ribosomal RNA (214 nucleotides) under uncultured bacterium. RNAcentral describes it as "partial 16S ribosomal RNA". It matches the Rfam family "Bacterial small subunit ribosomal RNA", at positions 524 to 737 of the family's 1533-position model. The record is from RNAcentral.